CAUGCGGCUGCUAUACAUGCAGUCGAACGCUUCUUUUUCCACCGGAGCUUGCUCCACCGGAAAAAGAGGAGUGGCGAACGGGUGAGUAACACGUGGGUAACCUGCCCAUCAGAAGGGGAUAACACUUGGAAACAGGUGCUAAUACCGUAUAACAAUCAAAACCGCAUGGUUUUGAUUUGAAAGGCGCUUUCGGGUGUCGCUGAUGGAUGGACCCGCGGUGCAUUAGCUAGUUGGUGAGGUAACGGCUCACCAAGGCCACGAUGCAUAGCCAACCUGAGAGGGUGAUCGGCCACAUUGGGACUGAGACACGGCCCAAACUCCUACGGGAGGCAGCAGUAGGGAAUCUUCGGCAAUGGACGAAAGUCUGACCGAGCAACGCCGCGUGAGUGAAGAAGGUUUUCGGAUCGUAAAACUCUGUUGUUAGAGAAGAACAAGGAUGAGAGUAACUGUUCAUCCCUUGACGGUAUCUAACCAGAAAGCCACGGCUAACUACGUGCCAGCAGCCGCGGUAAUACGUAGGUGGCAAGCGUUGUCCGGAUUUAUUGGGCGUAAAGCGAGCGCAGGCGGUUUCUUAAGUCUGAUGUGAAAGCCCCCGGCUCAACCGGGGAGGGUCAUUGGAAACUGGGAGACUUGAGUGCAGAAGAGGAGAGUGGAAUUCCAUGUGUAGCGGUGAAAUGCGUAGAUAUAUGGAGGAACACCAGUGGCGAAGGCGGCUCUCUGGUCUGUAACUGACGCUGAGGCUCGAAAGCGUGGGGAGCAAACAGGAUUAGAUACCCUGGUAGUCCACGCCGUAAACGAUGAGUGCUAAGUGUUGGAAGGGUUUCCGCCCUUCAGUGCUGCAGCUAACGCAUUAAGCACUCCGCCCUGGGGAGUACGACCGCAAGGUUGAAACUCAAAGGAAUUGACGGGGGCCCGCACAAGCGGUGGAGCAAUGUGGUUUAAUUCGAAGCAACGCGAAGAACCUUACCAGGUCUUGACAUCCUUUGACCACUCUAGAGAUAGAGCUUCCCCUUCGGGGGCAAAAUGACAGGUGGU
RNAcentral lists this ribosomal RNA (1035 nucleotides) under Enterococcus faecium. RNAcentral describes it as "bacterial SSU rRNA". It matches the Rfam family "Bacterial small subunit ribosomal RNA", at positions 36 to 1042 of the family's 1533-position model. Lineage: Bacteria; Bacillati; Bacillota; Bacilli; Lactobacillales; Enterococcaceae. The record is from RNAcentral.